AUCUGCCGAUAAACACUCACUCAUUUAUUCAUUCACUCAUACACUCAUUCAACAAGGAUUUAUGGCACCUGUUUUACUCUAAGCACUGAGGUAGGUGCUAGGGAAGCCAUGCAAAACCUAGGGGUCUCAGUGAAAUUAAUACUCAGGAGGUCAGAUAUCUUCUCUGAACCUCAGCUUCUUUUUCUGUAAGGUGGUGGGGGUGCUGAUGAAGAUGUGAGAUCCCCUUUUCCUCCACUGUGAAGUUAAUCCCCAUCUCUAGAAGAAGAGCAUCCUGGAGCCACAAGAGGGGGACUGGAAAAAUAGAGUCAAGAUACAGCCUUCUGGUUGAAUGCUCCUGGUUAGGCCACUUCCCCACCUGGGACCUCAGCUUCUUCAUCAGUAAAAUGAGAGGGCUGGACUACGUGGGUUUAAGAGCUCAUCUUGCUCUAACCAUCUGUGAUUCUCUGAUUCAGAUAUUCAUGAUUCUAGCAUGAGACUACCCUAUAACUCCAGGAAUGGCCCUCCUGUUCUGGGAGCAAAUCUCCUCCUCACAGGAUGCCUUUCAUCAUGAAAGCAGCAAAAAGGGACUCGUGAUGUGAGCAUGAAGGGGUAUGGGGGCCUCUCCUAGGAACUGGUCUCCCAGGAUCCCCAGAAUCACUACAUUUAUCUUUCCCAUCAUGCUCUUAAUCUCUGAAAAUUUAAUGGCACGGCCAUAAACUGCCUAAAGAACACAGCUGACCCGUCACCAAUAAAUCAGAAACUCCCGGUGAUGCUUUGGGAUAAAUGAUAGCCCCUCGGAUCAGUGGGCAGAUGAGCUGGGGAUGUUUGAUGAACCCAAGAAAGAUCUCAACCCGCACCCUGCUGGGGUAGGAGGCAUUGCUAAGAAGUCAGGGAGUGUGCUGAGUGGAUCAAGAGGCCCCCAGAGUCAUCCCUGGGUGUUUGGACAGAAGCAGACUGAUGCUUUCAAACUGUGGUACUAGAGAAGAGUCUUGUGAGUCCCUUGGACUGCAAGGAAAUCAACCCUGAAUAUUCAUUGGAAGGACUGAUGCUGAUGCUGAAGCUCCAGUACUUUGGCCACCUGAUGCGAAGACCGGACUCACUCGAAAAGACCCUGAUGCUGGGAAGGAUCGAAGGCAGGAGGAGAAGGGGAGGACAGAGGAUGAGAUGGUGGGAUGGCAUCACCGACUCAAUGGACGUGAAUUUGAGCAAGCUCCGGGAGAUAGUAAUGGACAGGGAAGCCUGGGUUGCUGCAUUCCAUGGAGUCACAAAGAGUUGGACGCAUCUAAGCGAAUGAACAAUAGACCCAAGCUUUCACAGUCACAACUGACCCUAUUUUACCUGGAAAAUAAACACCCAGAGGGAGAACAAAAAAACAACCUAGGGUGUAUGGUCAGGCUAUUCAAGGUGGUGGUUCUCCUGUUCUCUGUACCUCCCCUGCUCAACCCGCCCCUGCUUCACCGGCACCUUCUCCGGUCCCCCAGCCUGUGCCUGCCCCCUGCCCCAGCUAGUGCGGGUUCUAAUCCUUAGCCCCGAAAGGCUCCACCUACUAGUUUACUAAUAGGAAACACCUGCCCUCGAGAUGGUCGUUAACCUGAGGGACUGUGAGCAGCACGUGUCCAAGCGACUGGUUGCCCUGGUAACCUAGCUGACGUCAGUUCCCCCCUAUAAGCGAUAGCAUUCCCUCGCCCCGCCCUCAGUGGUGAAGAUGAUGGCCCCGUAGCAGUCACCGCCUGCCGCAGACAGUGGUGUGUUGCUCCAAGACCUGGCUUCGGACAUGGGCAACUCGAGAACCAGGCAGAAGGGCAGCUGCUGCCUGGGAUCGGAGGCUUUGGAGUCAGCUCCUAUGGAUGCCGAAUCGGAGGCCCUCCCAUGCCCUGCCUCGGCUGUUUACGAACUGCAACGGCACGUUGUAUCGUGGACUCUGGCUCUUAAGCACAGUGAACCCAGAGUGGAAGUAGGUGGGGCUGAUGCGUCGUUACCUCCAAGACCUGAAGCCCAUUGGUUUGUACUGCUGCCCGGAGCCCCAGCGUGUCAGCGUCCUCUUCAUUCAUUGGUUUGUACUGCUGCCCGGAGCCCCAGCGUGUCAGCGUCCUCUUCAUUCAUUGGUUUGUACUGCUGCCCGGAGCCCCAGCGUGUCAGCAUCCUCUUCAUCCAUGGAACCCGUUGUUUGGUUAUUCUUUGGUUCUAUGAGUUCUUCCGUCAUUUGUUUUGAUCCGUUAGCUCAGUGAUACAGUGUCUGAUGUUUCGUAGGUGAAGGCCUGGAAACAGAGCCCUGAAGUAGCCAAAGUGGCUUUGUGCCCAUUGUAACAGGUCUUUAAACUCAUGGAAUAUUAGAAUUAGAGGGGAUUUGGUUGACCAGUUCCCUCCCUCCUGGGUAAAUCCUGUAGCCCACACCAAGACGUUGUCCAGCCUUCUAGUGGGAAGUCCUCUGCCUCCCAGAGAAUCUGCUUUCAUGGGUUUUGACCAGCUCUGCCACUUACUAGCUGUGUGAUUUUGGGGGAAACCACUUAACUCCUCUGAGCCUCAAUCUGUGUGUGUUAUACUGUAGUGUGUUUUGAAUGAGAUGAUAUAUGUAAAAUACUUCAUACGUAGUAAAUGCACAGUUAAAGGCAAUUAC
Molecule: long non-coding RNA, 2596 nt
Organism: Bos taurus (domestic cattle)
Lineage: Eukaryota; Metazoa; Chordata; Mammalia; Artiodactyla; Bovidae
Source: Ensembl